UGGUCCUGCUGUUCUUCCUCACCUGCACCCAAUCAGCCAGCAUCACCUGCACUCAAUCAUGCAGCAUCACCUGCACCCAGUCAUCCAGCAUCACCUGCACACAAUCAGCAUCACCUGCAUCCAAUCAGCCAGCAUCACCUGCACCCAAGCAAUCAGCAUCACCUGCACCCAGUCAGCCAGCAUCACCUGCACCCAAUCACCUGCACCCAAUCAGCCAACAUCACCUGCACCCAGUCAGCCAGCAUCACCUGCACCCAAUCAGCUAGCAUCACCUGCACGCAGUCAAUCAGCAUCACCUGCACCCAAUCAGCAUCACCUGCACCCAUUCAGCCAGCAUCACCUGCACCCAAUCAGCAUCACCUGC
RNAcentral lists this long non-coding RNA (364 nucleotides) under Homo sapiens (human). RNAcentral describes it as "non-protein coding lnc-ABCG2-1:1". The record is from RNAcentral. Lineage: Eukaryota; Metazoa; Chordata; Mammalia; Primates; Hominidae.